Molecule: long non-coding RNA, 598 nt
Organism: Oncorhynchus keta (chum salmon)
Lineage: Eukaryota; Metazoa; Chordata; Actinopteri; Salmoniformes; Salmonidae
Exons: 3
Source: RefSeq, a predicted model, not a curated record
UGGGAUGAUACUAGUAUCACGAUACCUGUUAGUAUUGUGGCAAGGGAACAAAACACAAAGCAGAUUUAACUUCUUUAGUAAAACUUAAUGUUGGAAACGAACAUCACUAUGUUAUCAUCCAGAGUCACAUGUAGUUAUUUUCCAGGCUAUAUCACAACAUAUGUUCCAUACAGCAGGUUUAGUACCAGGCUAUAUCACAACAUAUGUUCCAUACAGCAGGUUUAGUACCAGGCUAUAUCACAACAUAUGUUCCAUACAGCAGGUUUAGUACCAGGCUAUAUCACAACAUAUGUUCCAUACAGCAGGUUUAGUACCAGGCUAUAUCACAACAUAUGUUCCAUACAGCAGGUUUAGUACCAGGCUAUAUCACAACAUAUGGUCCAUACAGCAGGUUUAGUACCAGGCUAUAUCACAACAUAUGUUCCAUACAGCAGGUUUAGGACCAGGCUAUAUCACAACAUAUGUUCCAUACAGCAGAUUUAGUACCAGGCUAUAUCACAACAUAUGUUCCAUACAGCAGGUUUAGGACCAGGCUAUAUCACAACAUAUGUUCCAUACAGCAGAUUUAGUACCAGGCUAUAUCACAACAUAUGUUCCA